GACGAACGCUGGCGGCGUGCUUAACACAUGCAAGUCGAACGGAAAGGCCCUUCGGGGUACUCGAGUGGCGAACGGGUGAGUAACACGUGGGUGAUCUGCCCUGCACUUUGGGAUAAGCCUGGGAAACUGGGUCUAAUACCGAAUAUGAUCAUCAGCUUCAUGGUUGGUGGUGGAAAGCUUUUGCGGUGUGGGAUGGGCCCGCGGCCUAUCAGCUUGUUGGUGGGGUAAUGGCCUACCAAGGCGACGACGGGUAGCCGGCCUGAGAGGGUGACCGGCCACACUGGGACUGAGAUACGGCCCAGACUCCUACGGGAGGCAGCAGUGGGGAAUAUUGCAGAAUGGGGGCAAGCCUGAUGCAGCGACGCCGCGUGAGGGAUGACGGCCUUCGGGUCGUAAACCUCUUUCAGCACAGACGAAGCGCAAGUGACGGUAUGUGCAGAAGAAGGACCGGCCAACUACGUGCCAGCCGCCGCCGUAA
This 478-nucleotide ribosomal RNA is filed under the name uncultured bacterium. Its description in RNAcentral is "partial 16S ribosomal RNA". It matches the Rfam family "Bacterial small subunit ribosomal RNA", at positions 28 to 523 of the family's 1533-position model. The record is from RNAcentral.